RNAcentral lists this ribosomal RNA (253 nucleotides) under uncultured bacterium. RNAcentral's name for it is "partial 16S ribosomal RNA". It matches the Rfam family "Bacterial small subunit ribosomal RNA", at positions 524 to 776 of the family's 1533-position model. The record is from RNAcentral.
UACGGGGGGGGCAAGCGUUGUUCGGAAUUACUGGGCGUAAAGAGCGUGUAGGCGGCCUGUUAAGUCUGGCGUGAAAUCUCGGGGCUCAACCCCGAGCGGUCGUGAGAAACUGGCAGGCUAGAGUGCGGGAGAGGAGAGUGGAAUUCCUGGUGUAGCGGUGAAAUGCGCAGAUAUCAGGAGGAACACCGAUGGCGAAGGCAGCUCGCUGGGACGUUACUGACGCUGAGACGCGAAAGCGUGGGGAGCAAACAGG